Molecule: ribosomal RNA, 233 nt
Filed under: uncultured bacterium
Lineage: Bacteria
Description: partial 16S ribosomal RNA
Rfam family: Bacterial small subunit ribosomal RNA
Source: RNAcentral
GAUCAUGGCUCAGGAUGAACGCUGGCGGCGUGCUUAACACAUGCAAGUCGAACGAAGCACUCUAUUUGAUUUUCUUCGGAAAUGAAGAUUUUGUGACUGAGUGGCGGACGGGUGAGUAACGCGUGGGUAACCUGCCUCAUACAGGGGGAUAACAGUUGGAAACGACUGCUAAUACCGCAUAAGCGCACAGGAUUGCAUGAUCCGGUGUGAAAAACUCCGGUGGUAUGGGACGG